AAAUUGACGGGACCGCACAAGCGGUGGAUGAUGUGGUAUUAAUUCGAUGCAACGCGAAAACCUUACCUACCCUUGACAUGUCCGGAAUCCCGAAGAGAUUUGGGAGUGCUCGCAAGAGAACCGGAACACAGGUGCUGCAUGGCUGUCGUCAGCUCGUGUCGUGAGAUGUUGGGUUAAGUCCCGCAACGAGCGCAACCCUUGUCAUUAGUUGCCAUCAUUUGGUUGGGCACUCUAAUGAGACUGCCGGUGACAAACCGGAGGAAGGUGGGGAUGACGUCAAGUCCUCAUGGCCCUUAUGGGUAGGGCUUCACACGUCAUACAAUGGUCGGUACAGAGGGUUGCCAACCCGCGAGGGGGAGCUAAUCCCACAAAGCCGAUCGUAGUCCGGAUCGCAGUCUGCAACUCGACUGCGUGAAGUCGGAAUCGCUAGUAAUCGUGGAUCAGCAUGUCACGGUGAAUACGUUCCCGGGUCUU
This 474-nucleotide ribosomal RNA is filed under the name uncultured Rhodocyclaceae bacterium. RNAcentral describes it as "bacterial SSU rRNA". It matches the Rfam family "Bacterial small subunit ribosomal RNA", at positions 908 to 1382 of the family's 1533-position model. Lineage: Bacteria; Pseudomonadati; Pseudomonadota; Betaproteobacteria; Rhodocyclales; Rhodocyclaceae. The record is from RNAcentral.